Molecule: non-coding RNA, 345 nt
Organism: Vicia faba (fava bean)
Lineage: Eukaryota; Viridiplantae; Streptophyta; Magnoliopsida; Fabales; Fabaceae
Source: the annotation of a GenBank genome assembly
AAAGAAGUUUAUAUGUUAAUGGUGUAUUUCUCAAAAUUCUAUAAAAUAGAAGUCCACUCUAUACCAAGAACUUUAGCCAAAGCUUGCCAUAAAUUUAACAAAGUUCUACAUAAUACAACUCCUGCAAUUACUAUCCGAGCCUCCUUCGGGAUUAAAUAUUGGAAUCAUGUUGUAAAUUCCCAGAAAUUCCAAGAAUGUUCAAAAUUGGGCAAGUUGCUUAAUUGCCUAAGUACAACAAUUCAUUUUAUAUUUUUUCUAUUUUGGUUGAAGAAAAAUUGUUGCAUAUCCUGCAGAGUAGAAUCUUCCAAGGAAACUUUUAACAGAGAUGACAAUUGGGAAGAAUGA